AUUGAACGCUGGCGGCAGGCUUAACACAUGCAAGUCGAGCGGGGGAAGGUAGCUUGCUACCGGACCUAGCGGCGGACGGGUGAGUAAUGCUAGGAAUCUGCCUAUUAGUGGGGGACAACAUCUCGAAAGGGAUGCUAAUACCGCAUACGUCCUACGGGAGAAAGCAGGGGAUCUUCGGACCUUGCGCUAAUAGAUGAGCCUAAGUCGGAUUAGCUAGUUGGUGGGGUAAAGGCCUACCAAGGCGACGAGCUGUAGCGGGUCUGAGAGGAUGAUCCGCCACACUGGGACUGAGACACGGCCCAGACUCCUACGGGAGGCAGCAGUGGGGAAUAUUGGACAAUGGGGGGAACCCUGAUCCAGCCAUGCCGCGUGUGUGAAGAAGGCCUUAUGGUUGUAAAGCACUUUAAGCGAGGAGGAGGCUACUCUAGUUAAUACCUAGGGAUAGUGGACGUUACUCGCAGAAUAAGCACCGGCUAACUCUGUGCCAGCAGCCGCCGUAA
Molecule: ribosomal RNA, 500 nt
Filed under: uncultured bacterium
Lineage: Bacteria
Description: partial 16S ribosomal RNA
Rfam family: Bacterial small subunit ribosomal RNA
Source: RNAcentral